Molecule: unclassified non-coding RNA, 376 nt
Filed under: soil metagenome
Description: partial contains 5.8S ribosomal RNA, internal transcribed spacer 2, and large subunit ribosomal RNA
Rfam family: 5.8S ribosomal RNA (bases 1-120)
Source: RNAcentral
GAUGAAGAACGCAGCGAAAUGCGAUAAGUAAUGUGAAUUGCAGAAUUCAGUGAAUCAUCGAAUCUUUGAACGCAUCUUGCACUCCUUGGUAUUCUGAGGAGCAUGCCUGUUUGAGUGUCAUUAAAUUCUCAACUACACUGACUUUGAAUUGGUGUGGCUUGGAUUUGGGGGGAAAUUUGUUGUGGGCUUUUUGUAUAGUCUGCUCCCCUGAAAUUGAUUAGCGGUACCUUUGUGGAACUGUCUACAGGUGUGAUAAUUAUCUACAUCUUAGACAUCUGCUGGAAUGCUGCUUUCUAAACCUUACUUGUAUUGACAAUCUUGACCUCAAAUCAGGUAGGACUACCCGCUGAACUUAAGCAUAUCAAUAAGCGGAGGA